GAUGAAGAACGUAGUGAAAUGCGAUAACUAAUGUGAAUUGCAGAAUUCCGUGAAUCAUCGAGUCUUUGAACGCACAUUGCGCCCCCUGGUAUUCCGGGGGGCAUGCCUGUCCGAGCGUCAUUGCAACCCUCAAGCACGGCUUGUCUAAUGGGCGGUUCGUCUGCGGCCAUCCGCCGGAGACGCCCCCGAAAUGCAGUGGGGAUGUUCGCUAAAUCGCAGCGUCAGGAAUGGAAAUAAACAAUGCUGACGGCUCGAUGUCGAACGUCCACCUAAGGCGUGCCGCCCCCCCGGGGUGUGCCGCCCAACCUCUCUCGGUUGACCUCGGAUCAGGUAGGGAUACCCGCUGAACUUAAGCAUAUCAAUAAGCGGAGGA
This 373-nucleotide unclassified non-coding RNA is filed under the name soil metagenome. Its description in RNAcentral is "partial contains 5.8S ribosomal RNA, internal transcribed spacer 2, and large subunit ribosomal RNA". The stretch from base 1 to 120 matches the Rfam family "5.8S ribosomal RNA", at positions 35 to 154 of the family's 154-position model. The record is from RNAcentral.